Long non-coding RNA from Ictalurus punctatus (channel catfish), 372 nucleotides. NCBI's taxonomy places the organism in Eukaryota, Metazoa, Chordata, Actinopteri, Siluriformes, Ictaluridae. The record is from Ensembl.
UGUGAUACAGGGUUCUCACCGUUGUACAGGGGUCUCACCGUGAUACAGGGUUCUCCGAGUGUUACAGGGUUCUCACCGUGAUACAGGGUUCUCACUGUGAUACAGGGUUCUCACGUGUGUUACAGGGUUCUCCGUGUUUAACAGGGUUCUCCGAGUGUUACAGGGUUCUCACUGUGAUACAGGGUUCUCCGAGUGUUACAGGUUUCUCACUGUGAUACAGGGUUCUCACUGUGAUACAGGGUUCUCGGAGUGUUACAGGGUUCUCACCGUGUUACAGGGUUCUCGGAGUGUUGCAGGGUUCUCGGAGUGUUACAGGGUUCUCACCGUGUUGCAGGGUUCUCCGUGUUUAACAGGGUUCUGCGAGUGUGUGUG